This 20-nucleotide small RNA is filed under the name Drosophila melanogaster (fruit fly). Its description in RNAcentral is "smithRNA134r". The record is from RNAcentral. Lineage: Eukaryota; Metazoa; Arthropoda; Insecta; Diptera; Drosophilidae.
UUUAAAUAAAGAAUUCGGCA